RNAcentral lists this transfer RNA (73 nucleotides) under Stegodyphus mimosarum. It matches the Rfam family "tRNA". From Rfam's summary of the family: Transfer RNA (tRNA) molecules are approximately 80 nucleotides in length. Lineage: Eukaryota; Metazoa; Arthropoda; Arachnida; Araneae; Eresidae. The record is from Rfam by way of RNAcentral.
GCCUUCGUAGCGUAGUGGUCAGCGCGCUCGACACGUAUACGAGAGGUCCAUGGUUUGAGUCCCGGCGAGGGCA